GCAAGCUGUACUUGUACAGCGAAGUGGUUGAUGCCAUGCUUCCAGGAAAAGUCUCUAAGCUUCAGUUACACAGGAAUCGUACCCGAAACCGACACAGGUGGUCAGGUCGAGUAGACCAAGGCGCUUGAGAGAACUCUGCUGAAGGAACUAGGCAAAAUGGUACCGUAACUUCGGGAGAAGGUACGCUGUUGUUGGUGAUGGAACUCGCUUCCUGAGCUGACGACAGCCGCAGAAACCAGGCCGCUGCAACUGUUUAUUAAAAACAUAGCACUCUGCAAACACGAAAGUGGACGUAUAGGGUGUGAUGCCUGCCCGGUGCUGGAAGGUUAAUUGAUGGGGUUAGCGUAAGCGAAGCUCUUGAUCGAAGCCCCAGUAAACGGCGGCCGUAACUAUAACGGUCCUAAGGUAGCGAAAUUCCUUGUCGGGUAAGUUCCGACCUGCACGAAUGGCAUAAUGAUGGCGGCGCUGUCUCCAGCAGAGGCUCAGUGAAAUCGAAAUCGCUGUGAAGAUGCAGUGUACCCGCGGCUAGACGGAAAGACCCCGUGAACCUUUACUGCAGCUUGACACUGAACUUUGACCUUACUUGUGUAGGAUAGGUGGGAGGCUUUGAAGCUGGAACGCUAGUUCCAGUGGAGCCGUCCUUGAAAUACCACCCUGGUAAUGUUGAGGUUCUAACUCUGUCCCGUGAUCCGGGACGAGGACCGUGUCUGGUGGGUAGUUUGACUGGGGCGGUCUCCUCCUAAAGAGUAACGGAGGAGUACGAAGGUGCGCUCAGCGUGGUCGGAAAUCACGCGUAGAGUAUAAAGGCAAAAGCGCGCUUAACUGCGAGACCCACAAGUCGAGCAGGUACGAAAGUAGGUCUUAGUGAUCCGGUGGUUCUGUAUGGAAGGGCCAUCGCUCAACGGAUAAAAGGUACUCUGGGGAUAACAGGCUGAUACCGCCCAAGAGUUCAUAUCGACGGCGGUGUUUGGCACCUCGAUGUCGGCUCAUCUCAUCCUGGGGCUGAAGCAGGUCCCAAGGGUAUGGCUGUUCGCCAUUUAAAGAGGUACGCGAGCUGGGUUUAGAACGUCGUGAGACAGUUCGGUCCCUAUCUACCGUGGGCGCUGGAAAUUUGAGAGGAUCUGCUCCUAGUACGAGAGGACCAGAGUGGACGAACCUCUGGUGUACCGGUUGUGACGCCAGUCGCAUCGCCGGGUAGCUAUGUUCGGAAGGGAUAACCGCUGAAAGCAUCUAAGCGGGAAGCCUACCUCAAGAUAAGAUUUCCCUAGGACUUUAUGUCCUCUAAAGAGCCGUUCGAGACUAGGACGUUGAUAGGUUGGAUGUGGAAGCAUAGUGAUAUGUGAAGCUGACCAAUACUAAUUGCUCGUGAGGCUUGACUAUACAACACCCAAGCAGUUG
Molecule: ribosomal RNA, 1398 nt
Filed under: Acinetobacter baumannii
Lineage: Bacteria; Pseudomonadati; Pseudomonadota; Gammaproteobacteria; Moraxellales; Moraxellaceae
Description: partial 23S ribosomal RNA
Rfam family: Bacterial large subunit ribosomal RNA
Source: RNAcentral